AUUUAGCACUACAGAGCUUUCAAGGUCCACAGGCAUUGCUAAGUAGGAUCACAAGCAAGGCUUGAUACUCUCAAAGGUUGUGGGAUGAUUAUGCAGAACUUGUGGGCUGUGUUUAUUGCUAUUAUCCCCAUGACUCUCCUAAAGUCUACAGCCCACUAACUGCAUUAAGGGUACGUCUACACUUAAUGGGCAGUGAUUGAUCUAUCGGGUAUCGAUUUAUCAUGCCUAGUGUAGACAUGAUAAAAAUCGAUCCCCGAGCACUCUCCCAUUGACUCGGGUACUCCACCACCGCGAGAGGCGCAAGCGGAGUCGGCGGGGGAGUGGCAGCAGUCGACUCAGUGCCGUGAAGACGCUGCGAUGUCCAUUUGAAAGGGUGAAACAUCAAAGCUUUUAAGCAGCCCAAGAGGAUAUAAGUACUGGAAUUGAGGAUUAUUGUACCUUAGGCAAAUAAAACAUGGAUAAUUUAACAUGACUGAUGAAGACAAAGUGAAUGAAGAUGCACUAUGACGGUACAAACUAGAGAGCGUUCAGGGAUGAUCAAUCAGAUUACUGAACUGUUUUAACAAUCCUAAUCCUGCAAUUCAUUUCAUAAAGACUAAUGGUUCUUUGAUGUGUUCCAUUUUAACAGUUGGAGUCUGGCAUCUUAAGGCUAUCCUGAGGGCAAACAUUUACUGGAAUAAAAGUUUAUUUCAUAUCUCA
Long non-coding RNA from Mauremys reevesii (Reeves's turtle), 699 nucleotides. RefSeq lists it as uncharacterized. NCBI's taxonomy places the organism in Eukaryota, Metazoa, Chordata, Testudines, Geoemydidae. The record is from RefSeq and is a predicted model, not a curated record. The transcript is spliced from 3 exons.